GGUGAGCGACCUCAGGGCCAUCAUGGCCCUCUUGUUUAGCUACAGUCAUAGUGAUGUUGCAUUUGCCAUUGCCUUUGUCUUUGCCAUCUGCAGUGAUCUGUGAACAAAUCAUUUUUUAAUUCUUAAUAGAAUGCCUUGGACAUGACUACCAUAUUAUUAAGAACAGCCAUAAUAUGACUUUUUGUUGAAAAAUUGAUGAAUUCUGCUUGAUUUUAAGCACGACUAUAAGCAGAAUAAUUGAGCUAAUGCAGUCACGCAUUUGUCGGUGUUGGUGUCGGCGUCGGCAUCCCUGUGGUUAAGUUUUUGCGUACAAGCUGGUAUCUCCAUAACUACUGAAGAGAAUGGAUUCAAACUUCACACACUUGUUCCCUGUGAUUAUCUUACAUGAUUGGCACAAGUCCAAUAACUGUGAUUUGGUUUUUUGCAUAAUUCUGCCCCUUUUUGACUUAGAAAUUCUUGGUUAAGUUUUUGCGUGCAAGCUGGUAUCUCCAUAACUACUGAAGGGAAUGGAUUGAAACUUCACACACUUGUUCCCUGUGAUUAUCUUACAUGAUUGGCACAAGUCCCAUAACUCUGAUUGCUUUUUUACAUAAUUAUAAGAGUGUGAGAAACAGCGAAUGUAUGUAAAAAAAUUAGAUCGCGAUCCACGAUUCCUGGGCUUACGAAUAUUCAAACUCGAUUUUUCACUUUGAUUUGUGAUUAUCCGAGUACUCGGAUACUCGCCCCAGCCCUAUUCCAAUUGGCCCCUCUUAGGGGCCGCUUAAGCUAAAAAUAGAAAUACCUUUAAAUGUUUAUUUCUACAGAACUAAUGGAUUGAUGAUCCCCAAACUUUGUCUGUAGCAUUCCACCCCAAAAUCGGCAACAAUUUUUUAAAUGUUCUGCCACCGCUAAAUUGCCUAUACUAUAUUGUUAAUACUUCUUUAGAAAUUUAUAGUGUGUAAUAACAUAAUAUUAUAAACUUACAUAUCUACUGUGGUUAAAUUAGUGGUCUACAAUAUUUUGACCUGUUGACUAGUACUUUUAUUGACUGCCAUAAAGUUGUCUCGAACAUCAAAUUCCUACUGAAAUAAUUGAUAGAUGAUCACCAAACUUUGUAGCAUUCUUAGGUAGUUUUUUUAUCAAGUUUGCUCAUAUUAAUUUGAUUAGCCCCGUUUAAGCUAAAGCUUAAAUGCCCCAGGUCAUGGCAUUUCUUCAAAUUAUUGGUUAAACAUAUUCUAUACUUAAAAUUUAAUAUUGGGAAAUAUUGACAUUCCAACACUGAAAAGCAGUUGUUUCUGGUCAGCGACUCAGGGCCGUCAUGGCCCUCUUGUUUGAGUUAUUGCCCUUUGUUAAUUUUCUCGUCCUGGCCAUUUCUCCUAAACUAUAUUGUUCACAAGGCGACACAUCCAACUCGCAUUUUUUUUAAGUUCUAGUUUAUUCAAAUAGCCAAUUGUGCACUUAAAAUUUGUUAAAUUUAAAACAAAAUUUUAUUUCGUUCAAACAAAUAAAUUUUCGUCUAAAAUGAGAUAACUUCCGCCGUGCAUGCGCAUCAGUGUGCUUCCGUCCGCCUCGGCGAUAACACGUUUUUGUAGUUGUGCGAAGCGCAAUUAAAUGCUAUAGUUUAGAUUUUCAAUGCGCAUAGCGUAUUGUUAACUGUAAUAAGUUUAAAGAAGGUUUUUUCAAUUACGCGUGGCGUAAUUUUACGAGUGACAAUUGAGAUAAAGUUGUUUUUAUAACCAAAUUGUGCACCGCCCGUAGGGUGGUGGGGUAUUGCUACUUCAGUGUUUAACAGUUUAAAUUAGAUUGUGAUAUAAAAAAUGGCGACUUUGUCGCAAGACAUAUAUUGUGGUUGCUUGGCAACACUGAUUGAUUUUUAGCUUGACUUUUCGAUUAAAAUAAGUAGAGCUUUUGUAGUCACCCGAGCGUCGGUGUGGACGUAACUACUUAUGUUGAAGUUUUUAUGAUAUACCUCUAAUAUUUUCAAAGUCCAUUGACAUAUGGCUUUGAAACUUUGCACAAUUGUUCACCACCAUGACCCCAACCUGUAUACAGGAGGAGGUGACUGUAUCAAGCAUUUUGGCAGAAUUAUGCCCCUUUUUAGCUCACCUGUCACAAAGUGACAGGGUGAGCUUUUGUGAUCGCUUUUCGUCCGGCGUCCGUCGUCAUCCGUCCGUAAACUUUUGCUUUAAAUGAGUCAUCUCCUCAUAAACCACUGAGCCAAUUUCAUCCAAACUUAAUAGGAAUGUUCCUUUGGUGGUCACCUUUAAAAAUUGUUCAAAGAAUUUAAUUCCAUGCAGAACUCUGGUUGCCAUGGCAACCGAAAGAAAAAUCUUUAAAUAUCUUCUUUUAAACAACCCUAAGAGCUAGAGCUUAGAUAUUUGGCAUGAAACAUCUUCUAGUAAGUGUCUACCAAGUUUGUUCAAAUAAAAGCCCUGGGGUCAAAAUUGGCCCCGCCCCGGGGGGUCAUUGAUUUUCCCUAUAUGCAUAUAGUAAAAACUUAAAAAAUCUUCUUUUAAACAACCCUAAGAGCUAGAGCUUAGAUAUUUGGCAUGAAACAUCUUCUAGUGAGUGUCUACCAAGUUUGUUCAAAUAAAAGCCCUGGGGUCAAAAUUGGCCCCGCCCCGGGGGGUCAUUGAUUUUCCCUAUAUGCAUAUAGUAAAAACUUAAAAAAUCUUCUUUUAAAGAACCCAAAGAGCUAGAGCUAAGAUAUUUAGCAUGAAACAUCUUCUAAUGAGUGUCUACCAAGUUUGUUCAAAUAAAAGCCCUGGGGUCAAAUUGGCCCUGCCCCAGGGGGGUCAUAGAUUUUUCCUAUAUGCAUAUAGUAAAAACUUAAAAAAUCUUCUUUUAAAGAACCCAAAGAGCUAGAGCUAAGAUAUUUGGCAUGAAAAAUCUUCUAGUGAGUGUCUACCAAGUUUGUUCAAAUAAAAGCCCUGGGGUCAAAAUUAGCCCCGCCCCGGGGGGUCAUUGAUUUUCCCUAUAUGCAUAUAGUGAAAACUUAAAAAGUCUUCUUUUAAAGAACCGUUAGAGCUAGAGCUUAAAUAUUUGGCAUGAAACAUCUUCUAGUGAAUGUCUACCAAGUAUGUUCAAAUAAAAGCCCUGGGGUCAAAAUUGGCCCCGCCCCAGGGGGUCAUUGAUUUUCCCUAUAUGCAUAUAGUAAAAACUUAAAAAAUCUUCUUUUAAAGAACUCAAAGAGCUAGAGCUAAGAUAUUUAGCAUGAAACAUGUUCUAAUGGGUGUCUACCAAGUAUGUUCAAAUAAAAGCCCUGGGGUCAAAACUGGCCCCGCCCCGGGGGGUCAUUGAUUUUCCUUAUAUAUGUGUAUAGCAAAAACUUUAAAAUCUUCUUUGAAAAAACCCAAAUAGCUAGAGUUUAGAUAUUAAGCAUGAAACAUCUUUGAGUAAAUAUCUACAAAGUUUGUUCAAAUAAAAGCCUGGGGGUCAAAACUGGCCCUGCCCCAGGGGUGUCAUUGUUUUUAACUAUAUGUGUAUAGUAAAAACUUAAAAAAUCUUCUUUUAAAAAACCCAAUGAGCUAGAACUUAGAUGUUUAGCAUGAAACAUAGAGCAUAUAGCGUUGCACUUGUCCGUCCGUCUGUCCGUCCGCACUACCGAAAAGGGAUAGGGGGCCAUCUAACUGUAAACAGAACAAAAGAGAACAUUAUAGAGUUCAUUCCGUAACAAUAGAGUAAGGGGCCAUUGGCCCUCUAUUAAACAAUAGAAAAUAACAAAAGAAAUGGCCCCUUAUUCCAUUUCGGCUGGACGUCAGUCCGUCUGUCCGUACGUCCCAAAAUCUUGUGAACGCAACUCCUCUUAAACCGGAUGGCAGAUUUUGCUUAAACUUCCAGGGAUGAACAACCUUAAUGUGUAGAUGGUAGUAAAGGAAGGAAUUUUUGCUGCGACCAAAUUUAACAGAAUUAUGGCCCUUUGUUGAUUUUUAUGCCACCGCAGCAUCUGCGAUGCGGUGGCAUAUAGCGAUUCACCUGUGUGUGUGUGUUUGUUUGUGUGUGUGUGUGUGUUAUAUAGAUUAUAUAGUGAACUUAAAAAAUCUUCUUGUGAAAAACCACUUGUCCAAUUUCAACCAAACUUAGCAGGAUUGAUCCUUGGGUGAAGGGCUUCCAAAGUUGUUCAAAGAAUUUAAUUCCAUUCAGAAAUCUGGUUGCCAUGGCAACCAAAAGGAAUUAUAAGAAUAAAUUUAAAAAAUCUUCUUGUAAAGACCCAAAAGGCCUAAAGCUUAGAUAUUUUGCAUUAGACAUUGUCUGGUAGACCUCUACCAAGAUUGUUCAAAUUAUAGCCCUGGGGUCAAAAUUGGCCCCGCCCCGGGGGUCAUUGAUUUACACUAUAUGUACAUUUAGUAAAAACUUAAAAUACCUUCUUGUAAAGACCCAUAGGCCUAGAGCUUAGAUAUCUUGCAUAAGGCAUUGUCUGGUAGACUCUUACCAAGAUUGUUCAAAUUAUAGCCCUGGGGUCAAAAUCAGCCCCGCCCAGGGGGUCAUUGAUUUUCACUAUAUGUACAUAUAGUAAAACUUAAAAUACCUUCUCGUAAAGACCCAAAAGGCCUAGAGCUUUGAUAUUUUGCAUAAGGCAUUGUCUGCUAGACCUCUACCCAGAUUGUUCAAAUUAUAGUCCUGGGGUCAAAAUCGGCCCUGCCCUGGGGGUCAUUGAUUUACACUAUAUGUACAUAUAGUAAAAACUUAAAAUACCUUCUUGUAAAGACCCAAAAGGCCUAGAGCUUAGAUAUCUUGCAUAAGGCAUUGUCUGCUAGACCUCUACCCAGAUUGUUCAAAUUAUAGUCCUGGGGUCAAAACCGGCCCUGCCAUUGGGGUCAUUGAUUUUCCUCAUUUUUACAGUAAAAACUUAUAGUAAAAACUUUAAAAAAAUUCUUCUAGCAAUUGACAAAUGCUAGAGGUUAGAUAUUUUGCAUGAAACAUUGUGAAGUGAACCUCUAGCAAGAUUGUUCAAAUAAUAGCCCUGGGAUCAAAAUUGCCCCCGCCCCGGGGUCAUUGAUUUUCAAUAUAUACAUAUAGUAAAAAAUCAAAAAAUCUAAUUGUCUGAAGGUACAAGGCUUAGAGCUUUAAUAUUUGUUAAAUUAUAUCAUCUAUAGGUACUCUACCAAAGUUGUUCAAAUUAAAUUGCCUCUAGUGUCAAAAUUAAAAGUGAACUUUGAUAUCAGCUGACCUAGAUUUUGACAAAGUGUAUUACAUGUUGUCCUUUGAUGCAAUCAUGAAAUUUAGGCUGUGUGAAAUAGGACCUUCACCACCAAAUUCACUAGACUCAAGUGCAUUGAUAUAUUCCUACUCUGAUCUUUUAUUGAGUUAACAAUAGAUUUAACCACUAAUCUGAUACUAAGAAUUAGAUAGGUCACUCGGGGAUCUAUGCAUUAUGACAAUCUUCAAUUGUAUAGAAACAAAAAAAAUCUGUUCCUACACUACUAUUUAGUGUUGUAUUAAUGCGGUGGCAUAGCAUUUUUAGCUCGACUAUUCAAAGAAUAUGAGAGCUAUUGUAGUCGCCCCGGCGUCGGCGUCGGCGUCAGUGUCAGCGUCGGCAUCUGCGUUGGUUAAAGUUUUUUGUAAAGUCAAAUAUCUCAAUUAUUACUUGAGAUAUUUAAUUGAAACUUACAAUACUUAUUUAUAGUAACAAGGUACAUCAGAUUGACAAGUUGGAUAACUCUGCCUACAAUAUUGACAGAAUUAUGCCCCUUUUUAACUUAAAAAAUUUUGGUUAAAGUUUUUUGUAAAGUCAAAUAUCUCAAUUAUUGCUUGAGAUAUUCAAUUGAAACUUACAAUACUUAUUUAUAGUAACAAGGUACAUCAGAUUGACAAGUUGGAUAACUCUGCCUACAAUAUUGACAGAAUUAUGCCCCUUUUUAACUUAGAAAUUUUGGUUAAAGUAUUUUGUAAAGUCAAAUAUCUCAAUUAUUGCUUGAGAUAUUCAAUUGAAACUUACCAUACUUAUUUAUAGUAACAAGGUACAUCAGAUUGACAAGUUGGAUAACUCUGCCUACAAUAUUGACAGAAUUAUGCCCCUUUGGAACUUAGAAAUUUUGGUUAAAGUUUUUUUGUAAAGUCAAAUAUCUCAAUUAUUGCUUGAGAUAUUCAAUUGAAAUUUUAAAAUACUUUUUUAUAAUAACAAUGUACAUCAGUUUGCAAAAUUGCAUAACUCUGCCUGCAAUAUUUGCAGAAUUAUUAACUUAGAAAUUUGGGUUAAAGGUUAAAGGUCUCUAAAGAUAUUUACUUGAAACUUUACACAUGCACUAAGGGUCAUAAUUGGAGGGUCAUAAUUGUAUGUCAUUGACCAAGUUCCAUAACUCUAUCUUGCAUAAAGGCUGAUUCAUAUCCCCUUUUCUACUUAGUCUCUUGGUUAAUGUUUACAUGCAAGUUUUACAUAUCUCAAUAACUAUUAAAGAUAUUUAUUUAAAACUUCACAUAUGCAUUCAGGGUCAUAAUUGUAGGUCACUGACAAAGAUCCAUAAUUCUAUCUUGCAUUUAGGCUGAUUUUUCUCCCCUUUUUAGUCCCCUACCGGUUUACCGGAGGGGACUUUAGGUUUACCCUCCGUCCGUCUGUCAGUCCGUCUGUCAGUCCGUCCGUCCACAAAACUGGAUCCCGCGAUAACUUGAAAAGUACUGAAAAUAUUUUUAUGAAACUUGGUAUAUGGAUAGAUGGCAGUAUGGAGAUUAUGCACGUCUUUUUCUUUUCUUCCUAUGUUGAAAAUUCUGGUUGCUAUGGCAACAAAUAGGCUGAAAAUAUGGCAAAUUUUACACAUAAACUGAAUCCAGUGAUAACGCAAAAAGAACUGGAAAUAUUUUUAUGAAACUUGACAUAUGGGUAGAUGGCAGUCUUGAGAUAAUGCACAUCUUUUUCUUUUCUUCCUAUGUUGAAAAUUCUGGUUGCUAUGGCAACAAAUAUGCUGAAAAUAUGGCAAAUUUUACACAUAAACUGGAUCCAGUGAUAACGCAAAAAGUACUGGAAAUAUUUUUAUGAAACUUGACAUAUGGGUAGAUGGCAGUCUUGAGAUUAUGCACGUCUUUUUCUUUUCUUCCUAUGUUGAAAAUUCUGGUUGCUAUGGCAACACAUAGACUGAAAAUUUGGCAAAUUUUACACAUAAACUGAAUCCAGUGAUAACUCAAAAAGUACUGGAAAUAUUUUUAUGAAACUUGACAUAUGGGUAGAUAGCAGUCUUGAGAUUAUGCAUGUCUUAUCUGUUCUUCCUAUUUUGAUAAAAUAUCAGUUGCCUUGGCAACAAAUAGGCUUAAAACAUGGCAAAUAUAACAAUAUUUGUGAUUAGUCAAAAAGAGCUGAAAAUUUUUAUGAAAUUGCAUCUUUAAUUCAAGAGUUAUCUCCUCUUUAAGAAUUUUGCUUUUAAAAUGUUAUAUUUUGGUAACAGGGAUGUUUCAAAUAUUAACUUUAGAGUGUCCUCAGUCCAUCUGUCUGUCUGUCUGUUCAUAAAAACUGUUUCCUGUGAUCACUUUUAAAGAACUUUUCAACAAAUUUACUUAAAAUAGAGAAAAAUUGAAACAUUAGUGAAUGGCCAAUGGCCCUUCAGAAUGUUGAUGGGGUUCUAACCAGUAGGGGACUUAUGGAUUGCUUGCAAUACUAUGAUAAUUGCUUGUUCAACUUAGAAAUUCAUGGUAAAGUUUUGCUUGUAAGCUGUUAUAUCAAUAUCUACUGAAGGGUUUGUGCCUUUUUUGGGACAAUUUUAUGCAUUCAUAAUAAUAAAGCACUGAUUUACUUGAUAAAACAUCUUAAUAACAAGCCUUUGUACCUUUUCUGUCAAAUUUAUGUAUUCAUAGGUAAUUAGUAUUAUUAUACUCAAUAAAACACCCUUGUGACAUUACCUUCCGAAUAGUCAAGCCAAUACUGUAUAAUUAGACUGUCUCUAAGGCCUAUAACAUGAAUUUAUAAAAAAAAUUAGCCCUUUUGUGAACUUAAAAAAUUUAACAUUAUCAAGGCUCUUUUACUAUCAAGCACUUAGAAUAGUCGAGCGUGCUGUCCUACCAUUUUUAGCUCGACUAUUCGCAGAAUAAUCGAGCUAAUGCAGUCACCCAUUUGUCGGCGUCGGCGUCCCUGUGGUUAAGUUUUUGUAUGUAAGCUGGUAUCUCUAUAACUACUGAAGGGAAUGGAUUGAAACUUCACACACUUGUUCUCUGUGAUUAUCUAAGAUGAUUGGCACAAGUCCCAUAACUCUGAUUUGCUUUUUUUCAUAAUUAUGCCCCUUUUUCGACUUAGAAAUUCUUGGUUAAGUUUUUGUGUGUAAGCUGGUAUCUCCUUAACUACUGAAGGGAAUGGAUUGAAACUUCACACACUUGUUCUCUGUGAUUAUCUAAGAUGAUUGGCACAAGUCCCAUAACUCUGAUUUGCUUUUUUUCAUAAUUAUGCCCCUUUUUCGACUUAGAAAUUCUUGGUUAAGUUUUUGUAUGUAAGCUGGUAUCUCCUUAACUACUGAAGGGAAUUGAUUGAAACUUCACACACUUGUUCUCUGUGAUUAUAUAAGAUGAUUAGCACAAGUCCCAUAACUCUGAUUUGCUUUUUUACAUAAUUGUGCCCCUUUUUCGACUUAGAAAUUCUUGGUUAAGUUUUUGCGUGUAAAUUAGCUGGUAUCUCCAUAACUACUGAAGGGAAUGGAUUGAAACUUCACACACUUGUUCUCUGUGAUUAUCUAAGAUAAUUGGCACAAGUCCCAUAACUCUGAUUUGCUUUUUUACAUAAUUAUGCCCCUUUUUCGACUUAGAAAUUCUUGGUUAAGUUUUUGCAUGUAAGCUGGUAUCUCCAUAACUACUGAAGGGAAUUGAAUGAAACUUCACACACUUGUUCUCUGUGAUUAUCUAAGAUGAUUGGCACAAGUCCCAUAACUCUAAUUUGCUUUUUAACAUAAUUAUGCCCCUUUUUCGACUUAGAAAUUCUUGUAUAAGUUUUUGCGUGUAAGCUGGUAUCUCCAUUACUACUAGAGGGAAUGGAUUGAAACUUCACACACUUGGUCUCUAUGAUUAUCUAAGAUGAUUGGUACAAGUCCCAUUACUCUGAUUUGCUUUUUUGCAUAAUUAUGCCCCUUUUUCGACUCAUGAAUUCUUGGUUAAGUUUUUGCAUGUAAGCUUGUAUCUCCAUAACUACUGAAGGGAAUGUAUUGAAACUUGAAGAGUUUGUACCUUUUCGGACAAUUUUAUGUAUUCAUAUAGGUAAGCAUUAUUAUACUCAAUGAAACACCCUUGUGACAAAUUUUCGAAUAGUCGAGCGUUACUGUCCUCCGACAGUUCUUGUUCUCAAAUGCAAUCUUGUUUCACUAUAUACCAUAUAAAUGUUGUCAGUGGGGGCAUUUGUGUCCUUUGGACACAGUUCUAGUUUAAACUACAUUUGAUUUGAAUUUGUGACAAGCAAUAUUGAUGUUUUAAUUUUUGUUUCUUUUAUUGUAUCAUUUAUUUGGCUAUAUUGUACAGUACUUUUGAAUGUGUCAAUGUGCAUGAAAAAAGUGCUUAAGAAGUUUGGUAUAUAAUAAUAAUAUACUAUACCUGUACCUAUACUUUUGACUGACUACCUUCAAGUAUUUAUCUUGACAUCCCUAAAAUUGAUAAUGGACAGUUCCAAAAAUGGAAGUUGGACAAGUCCAUUUAAGAAAUUCAGGAGUUAUAUUCAGCAUCUAAAUGAUAAUGGUGUGCUUAUGGGACAUUGGUACUCAGUACCAUAGCUAUAUUGUGGCACAUACUACAUGUUUGUAUUUUCAACAUUAUUUUGUUCAAAUAUGAAAUUAGGAGGGUUACGAGUAAUUUUCUACCAAAAGUUCUACUUAAUGAAGGAUUUUGCUUCUCUGAGCCACCACCUACCCCAAUUUUACUGCCAUAUUUUUUUUUAAUGAAUGACAAAAUAACAAGUAAGAAAUUGAGCAUAUUAGAUUUUAUCUAAUAUUCAUUUAGAAGAGUUGAGCAAGGAGAGAAAGCCCCCUUGAAAACUUACCGGUAGAUCAUCAUCAUUUCAUUAUUUAUUCAUAACAAUGUUUUUUACUGGCAGCGGGUAUAGGUUUAAAUGUUUCAACCAAUAUGUUUAAGUAUUCAUUUUGAAGCUGAAGAUACGAUGUGGAGUAUUAACAAAAACAUCGUGACACUUGAGAAGUCACGUCUUUUGUGACCAAGUAAUAAUAUAUUUUAAAAUUUUUUAAUGCUUCACGUUUUUAAUGAAAAAUAAAUUUUAAUCUUUGACUUCCACAAGCGUUUUGCGAUAGUAUUAAUGAAUUUAAUCACGCUAUAUUUGGUUACGGUACAGUCUUGUGCGGUUUUCAGGUCUGUGUUCUUGAAGGAAACGGACAUGCUUGUGCCAGUGACUUAUAACUUGAUAAGCAGCGGAACACUGAUGUAACUAAUAGUUGAUACAUCUGUUGAGCUACAACACUCUGCUGUUGAAUGCUUCAAAUUUUAAAUUUUAUAAAAUUUGUCCAAGAUUAUGGUAAGAGAUCAGCUAUUAUAUUGGGCUUCUCAUAUUUUUGUCUCCCCAGGAUUUGUUUACAAGUUUUAAUGAAUCAUCAUGGAACAGCUGGCCUUUGCAUGCUAAAUGUUUUUUUAGGCAGAAAAAAACAUAAAUUGAAGAGAGAGAAUCUUUUGCAAACAAUUUUAACGCCCUCCUAAAAAAAAUGAAAUAAAAUAAGAAUGAAUAACAAGGAAUGAUUUGAAAUUGACAACACUUUGUAAAAAGUUUGUUUACAUAACUUUUUUGUUUACACUCUUGACCUGAAGCUUAAUAUAAAUUACUAAAUACAAUCAUAUAUAAUAAGGCUGAUUUACUACAUUUAUAUACAAUGCAAUAUCAAUAAUCAAUGGUGCACAUCCGUCAGUACAUCCCGAAAUCUUGUGAACGCAGGUCCUCUUAAACUGGAUGGCAGAUUUUGCUUAAACUUACAGGGAUGAACAACCUUAAUGUGUAGAUGGUAGUAAAGGAGGGAAUUUUCACUGCGACCAAAUUUAACAGAAUUAUGGCCCUUUGUUGAUUUUUUCACUAUAUACUAUGGAAAAAUUUUGUGAACGCAACUUCUCUUAAACCGGAUGGCAGAUUUUGCUUAAACUUACAGGGAAGAACAACCUUAAUGUGUAGAUGGUAGUAAAGGAAGGAAUUUUUGCUGCGAUCAAAUUUAACAGAAUUAUGGCCAUUUGUUGAUUUUCACUAUAUACCAUAUAGAAAUUUUGUGAACACAACUCCUCUUAAACCGGAUGGCAGAUUUAGCUUAAACUUCCAGGGAUGAACAACCUUAAUGUGUAGAUGGUAGUAAAGGAAGGAAUUUUUGCUGCGACCAAAUUUAACAGAAUUAUGGCCCUUUGUUGAUUUUUCACUAUAUACUAUGUAGAAAUUUUGUGAACGCAACUCCUCUUUAACCGGAUGGCAGAUUUUGCUUAAACUUCCAGGGAUGAACAACCUUAAUGUGUAGACGGUAGUAAAGGAAGGAAGUUUUGCUGCGACCAAAUUUUACAGAAUUAUGGCCCUUUGUUGAUUUUUAGUUUUCAACUUGUGGCACAUACUGUCUAAAAAAUAUUUGACCUAGAGUCAUAUUGAGAUUGACAGAACAGUGGCGUGUGGGGGCAUCCGUGUCCUAUGGACACAUUUCUAGUUUUAUGAUUAUUUCUAAUAACUUACUGGGCACCAUACACACAAAAUUAUGUAUAUCUUUGUCAAUAAGACUUAUCUGAUAUCGAUUCAAAAAAGUGAAAAUCCAAAUUUGGUCAAGAAACCCCAUUUUUUGCAUUCCAUGACACAUAUGAAUAAGUAAUCAUACCUCAAAUCUGUGACUGUGAUUUACAAUGAAAUUCUACCUUCAGUGUAUUAAAAAGGUUUUUAAUUUCCUGUUAUUUAAUUUGUGUUUAUGCUUUAAAGCAGUCAAUUGACCGUGAAUUUUCUUUUCAUGUUUUAAUUUCCUUGAAAUCAUUUUUCUAAUCUGAAGGCAUGCUACUUUAAUAUGAUGAUGCAUUAAUUACAUUCCAUUGAAAUGUUUAAAGAUACAAAAUAUCUCAUGACAUGUUCAUUUUACAUUACACCUUUAAUGCAGCAAACUUAAAAAGUCUUAUGCAAUCGUACCUAUAUUACAUAGGAAUGUAUGUAAUAUUUUUCUUGUUUACCUAUAUAAAUUAAAAAAUCAAUAAUAAACACUUUUUUCUUUCCAAAUGGGACAUGAGAGAUACAUAAAUAUUUAGUUAAAAGAAAAAAAGAAAGACAAAAAAAAGUUUACCCUUUUGGGGAUUGAACCAACGGCCCUCAUUUUCAAUGUAGUUAACAGUAGUUCUAGCCUAUUUGAAUACUCUUCAAAGCGGAGGUAAUGCAUUAGGAUGGUAAUACCUUAACGGAAUGUUAAAGCCAAUUUGUGUCGACGAAAACGUCACAUUUGUGUUCUAGACAUUUCAGUGAAGAGUCAUUUGUUCAUCCACCAAGUAUAAUGAACUCAGUUGGUUUGACUUUGAAACUUCAGCUAGUAAAAGGUGCUGUUCCUACAAUUUUCCCUGAAAUUGAAGCGUUUAAAGACAGCAACAAACCUUCAUCAGUAAGCCACCUUGGGCCACCAAAGAGGAAAAGGACAUCCUAUGGAGGCUUUGAGAAAAGGAAUAGAAAAUCGUGUGUAGUCUCAGGAGCUACUUGAGAAAGAAGAGGAAGAGAGACAGCGAAUUGAAGAGGUGCUAAGUUCGGAAGUGGUUGAAGAGGGUUCAUUACCUGGUAGCAAUUCAAUUUCAUCAAUUGAGAUAUGUGGUAACACCACUUCCAGAGCCUGCCAGACAUCAGAGAUUUCAAAGAAAUGCUGUACAUUGGCUAUACACAUGCCAGGUUUGAAGACUUCAUGUAUAACUUGACAGGACCUGAUGUAAGCACAUUGGCCACUUUUGAUGGGUGUUGCAGGUAUAUCAUUACAAAUGCAUAUUGUCAGGUUCAAAACUGAUAUAUAAUAAUUAAAAAAGUUUAGGGUGCUGUUUCGAUUAACUUUUCGACUUUAUUUAGGGGCGGAAAUUUCUUCGCUCGGCACUAAUUUUUACCAUUUUGCUCAAAUAUUUAAAUAGAAUGUCACAAAUAAAUUGCUUCUUUGUCUGUUUCCUAUAUAAGAAUGUUUUGUGUUUCAUUUCCAGGCAUAGAUAGAAGCUAUCAUUUUA
This is a long non-coding RNA of Ruditapes philippinarum (Manila clam), 13077 nucleotides long. RefSeq lists it as uncharacterized. The record is from RefSeq and is a predicted model, not a curated record. The transcript has 3 exons. Lineage: Eukaryota; Metazoa; Mollusca; Bivalvia; Venerida; Veneridae.